This 1128-nucleotide long non-coding RNA is filed under the name Olea europaea subsp. europaea. The record is from RNAcentral. Lineage: Eukaryota; Viridiplantae; Streptophyta; Magnoliopsida; Lamiales; Oleaceae.
CGAGAUUGAGAUUCUAUUGGCGCAUUUUUUUAGAGAUUGGCACUAUCUAUGGAAAACGGUACGUUAACCAUGUUAUACCACAUCCCAAAAGCCACCACGAAAAAGAUAAUUUUUUCGGGCAGUUUCUCUACCAAAAAUUCAAGAAAAUUGACCACCACCAACGAAGAAAAAAGCUACUUGAAUUAGAGUUUUCAAAAUAUAGAAUUUUUGGAGAUUUUCUUUGGCUACCAUAUUGAAGCAUCAGCCACCGGAAUGAUACAUUUUCCCGGGCAAUUUUCUACCCAAAAACAACAAAGAAAAUACCAAAAAUGAAGAAAAACUUGGACACAACAAACAAAUCAGAAAAAUAUCCAUAGCAGCAGUUGCCAACAAGAUAUAUAUAACCAGAGAGCAAGAAGAGAGGAAGAAGCGGCUCCAAAUCUAGGCGGAGGUAUUCAAAGAUCCACCUAAAUUCGUGCUAUAUAUCCAUCUCUCUCUGUAUGCAUAUGUAGGAUGUAAGCAUACACACACAAGGGUUGUUGAUUUGGAAGUUAAAGGAUGAAUCAUUGGGCAAACGGGAGAGGCAACCACCCUUGAGAAAUCCCAAUCUCCCUUCUUGAGAAAUCCCAAUCUCCCUUCACCCCCAUUUCUUGCAAGGUCAGAUGGCAAGAAGCAAUUAACAACCAUUGAGGUAGGUGAAGCAUUUCAUGAUCUCUUAGUACUUCCCUUGAGGUAGCACUGCAUUCCAGACCCCCAAACAAGGCCGCUUGAGCAAUCGCCAGCAUUAGCAAGAAGCACCCGGUAAUAUACUACGGAUUCUCACGUUUGUUCAAUGGGUUAGCAUUAAUUUGAUUGAGAAAAGAUAUGAUGGUGGCGUGUUGGCAUAGAAAUGAAUAUUUCAGUCAGAUUUUGCAACUUGUUUUAUUUUGCAGAAGAAGGUAUUUUUGUUGACUUUGUGUAAAUUGAUCUCAUCCCCGUAAACAGGUUGUAGAAGAUAUUGGUUAAUCAUUGGGCCUCUUGGAAGAAUUAAUGGCUAGAAAUAUGGGCUAGUUGAUGGGCUUCAGUGAAUUGUCCCAAUAUUUAUUUAAAAUUGGGCCGUUAUUAUUCUUUUAGUUUAAAGUGAUCAGCCCUUUUACAUUCUUAUUAAAU